Amphiprion ocellaris (clown anemonefish) is the source of this 2462-nucleotide long non-coding RNA. RefSeq lists it as uncharacterized. NCBI's taxonomy places the organism in Eukaryota, Metazoa, Chordata, Actinopteri, Pomacentridae. The record is from RefSeq and is a predicted model, not a curated record. The transcript is spliced from 8 exons.
AUAAGUCUGGAAUCAUUAAAGAAUUUGCCAAACUACUGUCUAAUCUCUAUGCUUUGGCUCAAUUACAGGAGGGGUGCUGCAUUUUUCCUGUCAUCAUGGUGUUGUGUACUACAUAAACUUUUUAUUCUGGACCGAAUCUGCCAGGGACCAUGUUGAUGAUCUCCUCAGCUUCCGUUACUUCCCAACCUGUUUCAUUUCAGAUGUGUCUGGCCAAGUGGCAAGACACAUGAAUAAUCGAAGUAAGCAGCUCUUCUUUCAGCCAAACGAUGGCAGACUAUGCCAAGCCACAAAAGAAAAUCUAAAGCUUGCAGAGGACAAACAAUUAAGCGUGCAUUUACCAUGGGUGGCAAGCCUUAAAACGGCAUACUCAUUGAAACCGCAGCAAAAAGACAGUAAUCCAUGGAUCACACCUCAUCCAGUUACCAACACAAUGGAACGAUAUGCACUCUAUGACCGUUUCCACCAGAAGAACCAGAGGAGACCAGAAGAAAAACUCAGGAGUUUAAACCUUUGUCCUGACCUGCGUUCCUGCAUCAAUUCGUCAGUUGCAGAGCAACUUAAUCGAGAGCUAGCAGCUAUCCGAUACUCUCUCACUCAGAUGAAUGAAGUGCACUUUAAACAGUCACAAUUCUCACUGAAGUACACAACUGCAACAUAAAUGCGAAGUUCACAGAUGAAAUGAGGAAGCAGUCAUCCGUCUCUCUCAAACUGGGUCAGAUGGGUACACUUGUGUUCCAAACUGAAGGUCAGUUUAAGCUUUUUUGCACAUAAAUCUGCACUGCACAAGAAAUGCCACUUGCAAGUCAAAGACAUUGAUAUUUAUAUUGAUUUUAUUUAAAAGGUCCAGACAUUAAGUAUUUCAUCUGCAGCAUUUCUUGUCCAGAAAUUUAAAUGAAAGGACAUGCAAUUACAAAAUAAGUCCGUCAUUUCCAGAAUUAUUAAGUGUGUAAAUAAGAAUGUCCACUGAAACGGUCUCACUCUCUGUCAUUUUCAACGACAAAUGCUAGUAUGACGAUGCCAUGUAAAGUACCACGAGAGACGAUGUCAAUGGACAAGAAAACCCACAGCACAUUUAAAGCCAGUAACUAAAGCAUAACUGAAGAGAACAAGACACUAUUAAGAAGUCUUUUAGCUGGAGCACGGAAUGAGAUGCAGAGUGUAGCCAAAAUUGGGAGAAGAUUCUCAGUCUCAUUAUGAGACAUAAAGAGUGUUUGUCCCCUUGACAUACUGGAGGGGACAUCUUGGACGAUGCCAUGGCUGACAGAUGAUGUGAGUUUGAGAGUUUUGUUAUGUCAAAAUUUUUUAUAAAACACAUUACUAUGAUUACUUUGACUUUAAGACUUUGAUCAUGUUUAUGUCAUCUAAAAAUGUAACAUUCAUUUUUUUUUAAAGUUGCAUUGUCCUUUCUUCUCAGGCUGUCAAUUUCAGGGUUACACAAAUAGUGAGAGACUGCUCUAAGGUAUAGGACGUUGUUUUUUUAACGCAUUAACAGACAAUUACAAAAAAAUGUUUGCUUUAUGCACUUUAUACACUUACACAACAUAUUUUUGUAACAACAAAAGACUGACUUAAUUUUUUUGUUCACUGCACAGUCUACCAGUUUAGGGCGCUUUGACUUCGUCCUGUGGACUCGACAUUGGGCACAACAUGGCAGCGUGCAGGAAAACACUCUGAAGCACAUACAGAUUGCAGAUAAAAUCUUUAUACCAAGGCUUGUGGGACACAGUACUGCGGAAAUGGGCAAUAACUUCAUUCUGUGGGUUCUAGACUUUCCAAGCAAGGAAAUUCGAGUGUUUGACUUCCUCAACAGAUACCCAACAAUAACAACUGAUGACAUGACACUUGUAAGUGAUGUUUUCAGGAAAGCAGGUGGACUGAAAGGAUGGAAAAUCAUGUAUCCAAUCCAGUAGAGACAGCGGGACAAUGACAACUGUGGCAUUUUUGUGUGCACAGCAGGUGAGAAUGAGGUCAAGAACAGACUUAUCAACAACAAGGAUCUCACACUGAGCCAGUGUCAGAUCCUAAGGAGACACAUGUUUCUCAGAUGAUUCAGGGCCUCAAUGUUGAAGAUUUCCCACUCACCGAAGAAGAAGCUGAAAAACUGGAUGAGGAGGAAGCUGUAAUUCAGCUUCAGGGAAAAAAAAAAAAAAAAAAAACUGAUUCCAAUUGCCAUUGCUUGGCAUGGAGAAAAAAUGUCUGUGCCUUUCAAAGGGUAGAAGGCACAAAAAGAACACUACACUCCCAGGUGAAAAACUUCUCUUGGCUUCAGUGCAAAGGCUGUGGAAGUUGGAUCCACUUUUAAUGUGCAGGAUUGCAAGGAGACUGGACAAAAAAAGACUUCCUUUGCGGGUGUCACCGAAAUGCUCGAUCAUUCAUGUAAGUAUAUAACAAUGUAUUUAACACUUUAAAGCAUAAAGUGCUUAAAUGUCUCCAUCACCUGAAAGAACAUAAAGGCCUGGCUA